GUGGGGAAUUUUGGACAAUGGGCGCAAGCCUGAUCCAGCAAUGCCGCGUGUGUGAAGAAGGCCUUCGGGUUGUAAAGCACUUUUGUCCGGAAAGAAAUGGCCUGGGUUAAUACCCCGGGUCGAUGACGGUACCGGAAGAAUAAGCACCGGCUAACUACGUGCCAGCAGCCGCGGUAAUACGUAGGGUGCGAGCGUUAAUCGGAAUUACUGGGCGUAAAGCGUGCGCAGGCGGCGAUGCAAGACAGAUGUGAAAUCCCCGGGCUCAACCUGGGAACUGCAUUUGUGACUGCAUGGCUAGAGUGCGUCAGAGGGGGGUGGAAUUCCGCGUGUAGCAGUGAAAUGCGUAGAGAUGCGGAGGAACACCGAUGGCGAAGGCAGCCCCCUGGGAUGACACUGACGCUCAUGCACGAAAGCGUGGGGAGCAAACAGGAUUAGAUACCCGGGUAGUCC
This 450-nucleotide ribosomal RNA is filed under the name uncultured bacterium. RNAcentral describes it as "partial 16S ribosomal RNA". It matches the Rfam family "Bacterial small subunit ribosomal RNA", at positions 354 to 796 of the family's 1533-position model. The record is from RNAcentral.